This 336-nucleotide unclassified non-coding RNA is filed under the name soil metagenome. Its description in RNAcentral is "partial contains 5.8S ribosomal RNA, internal transcribed spacer 2, and large subunit ribosomal RNA". The stretch from base 1 to 120 matches the Rfam family "5.8S ribosomal RNA", at positions 35 to 154 of the family's 154-position model. The record is from RNAcentral.
GAUGAAGAACGCAGCGAAAUGCGAUAAGUAGUGUGAAUUGCAGAAUUCAGUGAAUCAUCGAAUCUUUGAACGCACAUUGCGCCCUUUGGUAUUCCAUGGGGCAUGCCUGUUCGAGCGUCAUUUGUACCUUCAAGCUUUGCUUGGUGUUGGGUGUUUGUCUCGCCUUUGCGUGUAGACUCGCCUUAAAAUAAUUGGCAGCCGGCGUAUUGAUUUCGGAGCGCAGUACAUCUCGCGCUUUGCACUCAUAACGACAGCGUCCAAAAGUACAUUUUACACUCUUGACCUCGGAUCAGGUAGGGAUACCCGCUGAACUUAAGCAUAUCAAUAAGCGGAGGA